RNAcentral lists this ribosomal RNA (331 nucleotides) under uncultured eukaryote. RNAcentral describes it as "partial 18S ribosomal RNA". It matches the Rfam family "Eukaryotic small subunit ribosomal RNA", at positions 1470 to 1796 of the family's 1831-position model. The record is from RNAcentral.
CCCUUAGAUGUUCUGGGCCGCACGCGCGCUACACUGUUCGACGCAGCGAGUCUUAACCUUGACCGAAAGGUUUGGGUAAUCUUCAGCAAAGUCGAACGUGAUGGGGAUCGAUCAUUGCAAUUAUUGAUCGUGAACGAGGAAUUCCUAGUAAGUGCAAGUCAUCAGCUUGCGCUGAUUACGUCCCUGCCCUUUGUACACACCGCCCGUCGCUACUACCGAUUGAAUGGUUUAGUGAGAUCUCUGGAUUGACGCUGGCUAGGGGGCGACCCUUGGCCAGGCUGUCGAGAAACUGCUCAAACUUGAUCAUUUAGAGGAAGUAAAGGUCGUAACA